Molecule: long non-coding RNA, 561 nt
Organism: Engraulis encrasicolus (European anchovy)
Lineage: Eukaryota; Metazoa; Chordata; Actinopteri; Clupeiformes; Engraulidae
Exons: 5
Source: RefSeq, a predicted model, not a curated record
GGGGCCUGACACUCUUGGACACAGAUGUCGGCUACGGCAGCGGCUUCAAAUACGCUUUGGUGACCAUAUUUCUAAUCGAGAGUUGUGCGAACGAGCCAGACAAACCAGCUGGGAGGACGGAAGCACCCCUUCUCCAUCCGCGUUCAGUAACUGAAUACGGAUUCACCCCGUAGUCAACAGCAGACAGGGUCCUUCCACAACCACAUACUUAUGCCAGUAAAAGCUACAGCUUUUCUCCUCCGAUCCAAGAAGCCUGGACUGCAGUCACCAUCUCAACACACCAACCAAGAGAAAGGCGGAUGGCUCAAUUCAAUAUGGAAAAUUGCACAAUAAAAGUUCCAGGACAUGAAGGCUGCAUACUGUGAACGUCAACCUUCAGGGCACCGUCCUGCGCAGAAGACUUUCUACCCUAAGAGGGAUGGCUGACCGCAGACACUCACAACCAGCACAGACGCCUCCAACCUCAGACUAGGCCCUUCACAGUUGCUGCACUUACCCACCUUCCCAGAGUUUUUGUGUGGUAAUGACAACUGUAAAUAUAGUAUAAAGUAAUGUAUCUAG